This 776-nucleotide ribosomal RNA is filed under the name uncultured organism. RNAcentral describes it as "SSU rRNA". It matches the Rfam family "Bacterial small subunit ribosomal RNA", at positions 37 to 826 of the family's 1533-position model. The record is from RNAcentral.
UGGCGGCGCGCCUAACACAUGCAAGUCGAACGAGCGAGAGAGAGCUUGCUUUCUCGAGCGAGUGGCGAACGGGUGAGUAACGCGUGAGGAACCUGCCUCAAAGAGGGGGACAACAGUUGGAAACGACUGCUAAUACCGCAUAAGCCCACGGGUCGGCAUCGACCUGAGGGAAAAGGAGCAAUCCGCUUUGAGAUGGCCUCGCGUCCGAUUAGCUAGUUGGUGAGGUAACGGCCCACCAAGGCGACGAUCGGUAGCCGGACUGAGAGGUUGAACGGCCACAUUGGGACUGAGACACGGCCCAGACUCCUACGGGAGGCAGCAGUGGGGAAUAUUGCACAAUGGGGGAAACCCUGAUGCAGCGACGCCGCGUGGAGGAAGAAGGUCUUCGGAUUGUAAACUCCUGUUGUUGAGGAAGAUAAUGACGGUACUCAACAAGGAAGUGACGGCUAACUACGUGCCAGCAGCCGCGGUAAAACGUAGGUCACAAGCGUUGUCCGGAAUUACUGGGUGUAAAGGGAGCGCAGGCGGGAAGACAAGUUGGAAGUGAAAUCUAUGGGCUCAACCCAUAAACUGCUUUCAAAACUGUUUUUCUUGAGUAGUGCAGAGGUAGGCGGAAUUCCCGGUGUAGCGGUGGAAUGCGUAGAUAUCGGGAGGAACACCAGUGGCGAAGGCGGCCUACUGGGCACCAACUGACGCUGAGGCUCGAAAGUGUGGGUAGCGAACAGGAUUAGAUACCCUGGUAGUCCACACCGUAAACGAUGAUUACUAGGUGUUGG